Long non-coding RNA from Notolabrus celidotus (New Zealand spotty), 702 nucleotides. RefSeq lists it as uncharacterized. The transcript is spliced from 3 exons. Lineage: Eukaryota; Metazoa; Chordata; Actinopteri; Labriformes; Labridae. The record is from RefSeq and is a predicted model, not a curated record.
UCAGUGGAACUUACCUUCUCUGCUGAGCUUCACGGCUUCACCCAGGCAGCAAAGCUCUCCGUGGCUGUUCCCCAAAGGCGAGUCUGCGUCUAAACAAACACCACAGCUUACUUACAAACACCCAGGAGCAUUCACAACAAACUUUGGGGGGCCACGCGUGGAGCCAUGCUGGUCCGAGGGCUGGCCAUCAGGUUAGCAUUAGCUCGCUGAGUGAAGCUGUCAGAGCUAACAAACUUACAGCUGGACAGACCGUGCAUGGUGGAGGGGCUUACUCAACUCAAUCACAGACAGUUGGACCACGCACUUCCCGACACUUUGCCCGCAGAAACAACAACGCUACCGACGUGCGAACUUACUGUCAACAAAACGUAAUUUAGCGGCACUGACGAAGGAGGACCAAGGUUCGCACAGAAAGCAGGCGAAAAACGAAAGAACGAGAUAUGCUGACGUCGUCCUCGGGGGGCUUCGGCUCAGUUCGGCUUCUGUCGGGUGGUGGAGAGAUUGAGCGACAGAGAGGGUGCUAUUCUCGAGUUCAAAAGUUCAGUAUGUAGGUACUACUGGCCAAAGUGUAUUGAAAUUCAACGGGGGCGCCACUUUAGGAAGGUGAUAGUAUAUGGUAAAUAUAAUGUAUACAAAAAUAACAUUCACUAAUCUAAUGGAAUAAAGGAACGAAAAUAAAGAACAUUUUUGUCUCCUCUGAAA